RNAcentral lists this ribosomal RNA (429 nucleotides) under Gemmatimonadota bacterium. RNAcentral describes it as "Gemmatimonadetes bacterium partial 16S ribosomal RNA". It matches the Rfam family "Bacterial small subunit ribosomal RNA", at positions 355 to 776 of the family's 1533-position model. Lineage: Bacteria; Pseudomonadati; Gemmatimonadota. The record is from RNAcentral.
UAGGGAAUCUUCGGCAAUGGACGAAAGUCUGACCGAGCAACGCCGCGUGAGUGAAGAAGGUUUUCGGAUCGUAAAACUCUGUUGUUAGAGAAGAACAAGGACGUUAGUAAUUGAACGUCCCCUGACGGUAUCUAACCAGAAAGCCACGGCUAACUACGUGCCAGCAGCCGCGGUAAUACGUAGGUGGCAAGCGUUGUCCGGAUUUAUUGGGCGUAGAGCGAGCGCAGGCGGUUUCUUAAGUCUGAUGUGAAAGCCCCCGGCUCAACCGGGGAGGGUCAUUGGGAACUGGGAGACUUGAGUGCAGGAGAGGAGAGUGGAAUUCCGUGGGAGGCGGUGAAAUGCGUAGAUAUAUGGAGGAACACCAGUGGCGAAGGCGGCUCGCUGGUCUGUAACUGACGCUGAGGCUCGAAAGGGUGGGAAGCAAACAGG